RNAcentral lists this ribosomal RNA (433 nucleotides) under uncultured bacterium. RNAcentral describes it as "partial 16S ribosomal RNA". It matches the Rfam family "Bacterial small subunit ribosomal RNA", at positions 29 to 507 of the family's 1533-position model. The record is from RNAcentral.
AACGAACGCUGGCGGCAUGCCUAACACAUGCAAGUCGAACGAGACCUUCGGGUCUAGUGGCGCACGGGUGCGUAACGCGUGGGAACCUGCCUUUAGGUUCGGAAUAACUCAGAGAAAUUUGAGCUAAUACCGGAUGAUUUCUUCGGACCAAAGAUUUAUCGCCUUUAGAUGGGCCCGCGUUGGAUUAGCUAGUUGGUGGGGUAAAGGCCUACCAAGGCGACGAUCCAUAGCUGGUCUGAGAGGAUGAUCAGCCACACUGGGACUGAGACACGGCCCAGACUCCUACGGGAGGCAGCAGUGGGGAAUAUUGGACAAUGGGCGAAAGCCUGAUCCAGCAAUGCCGCGUGAGUGAUGAAGGCCUUAGGGUUGUAAAGCUCUUUUACCCGAGAUGAUAAUGACAGUAUCGGGAGAAUAAGCUCCGGCUAACUCCGUG